GGCUAAGUUUGUUGUGAUAUGGAACGAUAUUGAGCGGGACAUCCCUAAAGUCGUUCUCAUGAGUAACCAAUGUCAAUUCCACUCGAGUUUAUACGAGAGACAGAAAACAAGAUCAUAACCCGAUUCAAGCCGCGACCACAAAUAGAGACUGACUGUGUGUUCAUUCUGGACGAUGAUCGAUGGAUCACUGACUUAACUGCAUGACCUCACUUUCGCUUUCAACGUUCGGAGAAUAGAUAUCGUAUUGUCGGCUUUAAUGAAUGCAAAAGGUCCCACAGUCGCAACUCUCAGGGGCAGUAUACUUACAAAUAGCCGGUUACAGAAAUGGUGCGUCUAUCAUGAUGACGCGGCAACAGGAUUUCUGCACAGGGCAUACCUCGAUAUGUACUUUGACCCUGGGGCCUUGCUACCAGCAGGCAUGAUGGAAGAUAAGGAUUGGACUAUAAUGUAUUGCGAUGACAUUCUCAUGAACUGCGUGGUUGAACGUUUCCUGGAACUGGUCUCGUGGCCGCAGCCAAGUCUAGUGGUGGUCAAGGGAAAGAGUGCCAUUGGGAGCAUAGAAGGAGAAGCAGGUCGUAUGGGUUGUCCUACCUGCAUACAUAGAAGAGGGCUAUAUACAACCCACCGUUUGUAAAGCAUAAUAAUCUUGUGUUGUGUACGUAGAAAGACUAAUUUUAUCCCCUUCCCGAAAAAAUAAAGCAAAAUAAUUGUAGCAUUAUAAUUUAUGUGUGUCUGAAGUUAAACUAUGAUUUUACCCCCCGGCCCCCUCUCCCCACACACAGCCAGGGCAGGAGAUCACCCUGGGCUGCAUACGCUACGACCUGACCACCACAAACAAAGAUACCAAGGAGAUAAUUAACAUCAGUAUAUACUUCCGUCAGCCCUAUACAAGUUUAAAUUAAACCAUGAAUAUAUAUAUAUAUAUAUAGAUCUCAAAAUUGUACAUGCAUGAUGCUGUUUGGAAUGUGGGAUAGUUCCUCUUGUUUCAACCUACAUUCUAUAUAAGCACCACUCUAUAAAUCACUGUGGUGUUCUUCGGUGUAUGCUAUAGGUUGUGCUCUUUAUAAUAAUUAUAUAGACAUCACCAUAUAUAUGCACUAUUAAUCUCGCGCUUUUAUUCUCAGUAUAAACCACACAAAUUUAACAUACUACUGACUCGAACCAUU
Halichondria panicea is the source of this 1166-nucleotide long non-coding RNA. RefSeq lists it as uncharacterized. NCBI's taxonomy places the organism in Eukaryota, Metazoa, Porifera, Demospongiae, Suberitida, Halichondriidae. The record is from RefSeq and is a predicted model, not a curated record. The transcript has 4 exons.